Molecule: ribosomal RNA, 460 nt
Filed under: uncultured bacterium
Lineage: Bacteria
Description: partial 16S ribosomal RNA
Rfam family: Bacterial small subunit ribosomal RNA
Source: RNAcentral
CCUACGGGAGGCAGCAGUGAGGAAUAUUGGUCAAUGGCCGUAAGGCUGAACCAGCCAAGUCGCGUGAAGGAAGAAGGAUCUACGGUUUGUAAACUUCUUUUAUGGGGGAAUAAAGGUAUCCACGUGUGGCUAUUUGCAUGUACCCUAUGAAUAAGCAUCGGCUAACUCCGUGCCAGCAGCCGCGGUAAUACGGAGGAUGCGAGCGUUAUCCGGAUUUAUUGGGUUUAAAGGGUGCGUAGGUUGUUUUUUAAGUCAGCGGUGAAAGUUUGUGGCUCAACCAUAAAAUUGCCGUUGAAACUGGAAGACUUGAGUGUGUUUGAGGUAGGCGGAAUGCGUGGUGUAGCGGUGAAAUGCAUAGAUAUCACGCAGAACUCCGAUUGCGAAGGCAGCUUACUAAGCCAUAACUGACACUGAAGCACGAAAGCGUGGGGAUCAAACAGGAUUAGAUACCCGAGUAGUC